This 468-nucleotide ribosomal RNA is filed under the name uncultured bacterium. Its description in RNAcentral is "partial 16S ribosomal RNA". It matches the Rfam family "Bacterial small subunit ribosomal RNA", at positions 28 to 507 of the family's 1533-position model. The record is from RNAcentral.
GACGAACGCUGGCGGCGUGCUUAACACAUGCAAGUCGAACGGAAAGGCCCUGCUUUUGUGGGGUGCUCGAGUGGCGAACGGGUGAGUAACACGUGAGUAACCUGCCCUUGACUUUGGGAUAACUUCAGGAAACUGGGGCUAAUACCGGAUAGGAGCUCCUGCUGCAUGGUGGGGGUUGGAAAGUUUCGGCGGUUGGGGAUGGACUCGCGGCUUAUCAGCUUGUUGGUGGGGUAGUGGCUUACCAAGGCUUUGACGGGUAGCCGGCCUGAGAGGGUGACCGGCCACAUUGGGACUGAGAUACGGCCCAGACUCCUACGGGAGGCAGCAGUGGGGAAUAUUGCACAAUGGGCGGAAGCCUGAUGCAGCAACGCCGUGUGCGGGAUGACGGCCUUCGGGUUGUAAACCUCUUUCGCCUGUGACGAAGCGUGAGUGACGGUAAUGGGUAAAGAAGCACCGGCUAACUACGUG